RNAcentral lists this ribosomal RNA (442 nucleotides) under uncultured bacterium. RNAcentral describes it as "partial 16S ribosomal RNA". It matches the Rfam family "Bacterial small subunit ribosomal RNA", at positions 338 to 795 of the family's 1533-position model. The record is from RNAcentral.
CCUACGGGGUGCAGCAGUAGGGAAUCUUUCACAAUGGGCGAAAGCCUGAUGGAGCAACGCCGCGUGCAGGAUGAAGGCCUUCGGGUUGUAAACUGCUUUUAUAAGCGAGAAAUAUGAUGGUAACUUAUGAAUAAGGAUCGGCUAACUACGUGCCAGCAGCCGCGGUCAUACGUAGGAUCCGAGCAUUAUCCGGAGUGACUGGGUGUAAAGAGUUGCGUAGGUGGCAUAAUAAGUAGCUAGUGAAAUCUGGUGGCUCAACCAUUCAGACUAUUAGCUAAACUGUUAAGCUCGAGACCGUUAGGGGUAACUGGAAUGUCUAGUGUAGGAGUGAAAUCCGUAGAUAUUAGAAGGAACACCAAUAGCGUAGGCAGGUUGCUGGGACGGUUCUGACACUAAGGCACGAAAGCGUAGGGAGCAAACGGGAUUAGAUACCCCUGUAGUC